AGAGUUUGAUCAUGGCUCAGGACGAACGCUGGCGGCGUGCCUAACACAUGCAAGUCGAGCGGAGAUCGUAGCAAUACGAUCUUAGCGGCGGACGGGUGAGUAACGCGUGGGCAACCUGCCUUUCACAGGGGGAUAACACAGGGAAACUUGUGCUAAUACCGCAUAACACAGUGGAUUGACAUCAAUCUAUUGUCAAAGGA
Molecule: ribosomal RNA, 200 nt
Filed under: uncultured bacterium
Lineage: Bacteria
Description: partial 16S ribosomal RNA
Rfam family: Bacterial small subunit ribosomal RNA
Source: RNAcentral